This is a small nucleolar RNA of Ursus americanus (American black bear), 76 nucleotides long. The record is from Ensembl. NCBI's taxonomy places the organism in Eukaryota, Metazoa, Chordata, Mammalia, Carnivora, Ursidae.
AGAAAAAGGAACACCGAAGCUGGCCUCACAGUGCUUCUAGUCUGGUUUAUAGCUUAUGGCCUAGUUUCAAACAAGG